CCGGCGCACGGGUGAGUAACACGUAUCCAACCUGCCGUCUACUCUUGGCCAGCCUUCUGAAGGAAGAUAAUCCAGGAUGGGAUCAUGAGUUCACAUGUCCGCAUGAUUAAAGGUAUUUCCGGUAGACGAUGGGGAUGCGUUCCAUUAGAUAGUAGGCGGGGUAACGGCCCACCUAGUCAACGAUGGAUAGGGGUUCUGAGAGGAAGGUCCCCCACAUUGGAACUGAGACACGGUCCAA
RNAcentral lists this ribosomal RNA (238 nucleotides) under uncultured bacterium. Its description in RNAcentral is "partial 16S ribosomal RNA". It matches the Rfam family "Bacterial small subunit ribosomal RNA", at positions 95 to 334 of the family's 1533-position model. The record is from RNAcentral.